This 302-nucleotide long non-coding RNA is filed under the name Manihot esculenta (cassava). RNAcentral's name for it is "long non-coding RNA (MESC_LNC003910)". The record is from RNAcentral. Lineage: Eukaryota; Viridiplantae; Streptophyta; Magnoliopsida; Malpighiales; Euphorbiaceae.
UUGGAACAACUGGUACUCACUCUCACCAGACUAUUCCCUUAAAGUGGGAGGUCAAGGGUUCGAGCAGUGGGGGAGGCGACCUAAUUCCCAGAGGAAGGAAUUGGGCCAAAUCCACUCGGGCUAGGGCGGGCCGUAAUGGCUCCCCCGAGGGACAAAUCCUGCCUGGAACCCGUGAGGGUGAAGGGAUGUUAAGAGCUGCUCACGACGCCAGUGGAAAGCCCGAGGUGGCAAGAGGCCAGGCGAGGGAUAGCCCUGGGCCGUGAGCGGUAACAGUGCCGUGCGUACGGGCCGGGCUGUUACAU